GUCGAGGGGCAGCGGGGUUGUAGCAAUACAACUGCCGGCGACCGGCGCACGAGUGAGUAACACGUAUGUAACCUGCCCUCUGCAGGGGGAUAAGCGGAAGAAAUUCCGUCUAAUACCGCAUAAUACAAUUUGGAGACAUCUCCGGGUUGUCAAAGGAGUGAUCCGGCAGAGGAUGGACAUGCGGCGCAUUAGCUAGUCGGCGGGGUAACGGCCCACCGAGGCUACGAUGCGUAGGGGUUCUGAGAGGAAGGUCCCCCACACUGGUACUGAGACACGGACCAGACUCCUACGGGAGGCAGCAGUGAGGAAUAUUGGUCAAUGGGCGGAAGCCUGAACCAGCCAAGUCGCGUGAGGGAAGACGGUCCUAUGGAUUGUAAACCUCUUUUGCAGGGGAACAAGGCGCGGUACGUGUACCGCGAAGGAGAGUACCCUGAGAAAAAGCAUCGGCUAACUCCGUGCCAGCAGCCGCGGUAAUACGGAGGAUGCGAGCGUUAUCCGGAUUUAUUGGGUUUAAAGGGUGCGCAGGCGGACUGUUAAGUCAGCGGUAAAAUGUCGGUGCUCAACACCGGCCGGCCGUUGAAACUGGCAGCCUUGAGUGAGCGAGAAGUAUGCGGAAUGCGUGGUGUAGCGGUGAAAUGCAUAGAUAUCACGCAGAACUCCGAUUGCGAAGGCAGCAUACCGGCGCUCAACUGACGCUCAGGCACGAAAGCGUGGGUAUCGAACAG
RNAcentral lists this ribosomal RNA (725 nucleotides) under uncultured bacterium. RNAcentral's name for it is "bacterial SSU rRNA". It matches the Rfam family "Bacterial small subunit ribosomal RNA", at positions 61 to 775 of the family's 1533-position model. The record is from RNAcentral.